Molecule: long non-coding RNA, 307 nt
Filed under: Arabidopsis thaliana (thale cress)
Lineage: Eukaryota; Viridiplantae; Streptophyta; Magnoliopsida; Brassicales; Brassicaceae
Description: long non-coding RNA (ATHA_LNC000563)
Source: RNAcentral
AAGCGCUCCUCUUCUCUGUCAUUAUUCUGGCUUUGUUCUCUUGCACAGGUGGACUUAGCCGUUGAGAAGAUGAAGAAGACUUGUUGGGCUUCUCAGACUUGCUAGGCUUCUCAUUUUAGUUGACAUUAGGCUUGUUAGGUGAGUGGCCCAAUAUCCCUUUCUCUUUGCUUACUGCAACGACAUCGUCUUGACUCCUUAACUCUUCAGCUACAUCUGAGUUCUUCUUCGAUCUUGUUUCAGAUUCAGGAGCUGAAGGCGGAGCAGUAGAGCUCUUGCUAAUACUUUGCUCACAAACACGUAUGAUCAU